This 497-nucleotide ribosomal RNA is filed under the name uncultured bacterium. Its description in RNAcentral is "partial 16S ribosomal RNA". It matches the Rfam family "Bacterial small subunit ribosomal RNA", at positions 28 to 507 of the family's 1533-position model. The record is from RNAcentral.
GAUGAACGCUGGCGGCGUGCCUAAUACAUGCCAGUCGAGCGAACAGACGAGGAGCUUGCUCCUCUGACGUUAGCGGCGAACGGGUGAGUAACACGUGGAUAACCUACCUAUAAGACUGGGAUAACUUCGGGAAACCGGAGCUAAUACCGGAUAACAUGUUGAACCGCAUGGUUUAACAGUGAAAGACGGUCUUGCUGUCACUUAUAGAUGGAUCCGCGCCGCAUUAGCUAGUUGGUAAGGUAACGGCUUACCAAGGCAACGAUGCGUAGCCGACCUGAGAGGGUGAUCGGCCACACUGGAACUGAGACACGGUCCAGACUCCUACGGGAGGCAGCAGUAGGGAAUCUUCCGCAAUGGGCGAAAGCCUGACGGAGCAACGCCGCGUGAGUGAAGAAGGUCUUCGGAUCGUAAAACUCUGUUAUUAGGGAAGAACAAAUGUGUAAGUAACUAUGCACGUCUUGACGGUACCUAAUCAGAAAGCCACGGCUAACUACGUG